GCCGGGCCACCCCGGAUCCCCUCGGCCACGUCCCCCUGGGCGCCUGCAGUGACCUCGGGUCCAGGGCUGACCGUCGGCUCUGCUUUAGGGCCCCCCCAAACUGUUCCACGGCCUCUGCGGGGCGAACCUGGUCUGGGGAGGAUCUGGCCGGCGACAAAGCCCUCGCAUGUGCUCGUUCGGCAGCCACAGCGACACAGAGUCCCCCGGAGACAAGUGGGUGUCCCCCGGGAGCUGAGCAAGGCCAGCAUCGGCGUGGAGGUCACGAGGGGACAGACCCGGAGACCCAGUCGCAGCUCCCGAAAGCCAGGGCCCGGGCGUGGAGCAGAGUCUUCCUCGCUCCCCUCCGAGGCAACCAGCCCCGUGGACACCGACCGUGGGCCCCUCGCCCCCAGGACCGCCAGACAUGACAUAUUUGCAGCGGAACGGACAUUAGAGACCUGCUUGCACCCCAAAGCCGGGUCCUUUGGGUGGUUGGUCGGCAAGACCCCCAGCCUGCCCAGAGAGAAGCCUCCACGCCUGGGCCCAGGUUUUCAGAUCUGCCAGCCUUGAGCUCAUCGACCGGAGGUUUCCGAUCUUCAUAGUAGUUGCGACUUAUUGGAGCCAUCGGUGCAGGUACACAGACCCCAAAAUAUAUCCCACCUCAUUAAGAGCGAAAAGUUUGUGAGGUGUACCCCCAAGGUUUUUCUCCAAGCUUCCUCUGAGCGGCCUCCUGUACGGCGUCAGAGCUUGGUGGCAUGCAAGGUGUCACAGGAGAGCGGAACUCGAGAUUUUCCAACCGGCUUUCCAUCAAACGUUGUAUGAAGAGCUGCUGCUUCAUACACUCUCGCCGCAGGGACUCGUAGAACUUCGUCUUCGCUCGCAGCAGGGAGAGCCAUCCGGCCUGUCUUUGGGCCAAAUCCAGAUAUUUCUGGUGUGAAAUUAAAUCAUCCCUGAAGUCACCCAUGAUGAGGAUUUGGGGGGACAACAUGGAAAGACUGCGACCUGCCAAGAAAAACCAGGAGUGAGCAGAUUUGAAUGACACCAAAAAAGAUUCCAGCACAAAGGGGCCUGUUUCCAAAGAAAAAGCUCUUCUGACUAUAAAUAUACACUGACAAACUGCAUACAGAAUGUCCCAGAAUUAGGGUAGGUUAGCAGAGAGCUAGCAUCCCACAAUUUGCAAAG
Long non-coding RNA from Canis lupus familiaris (dog), 1161 nucleotides. RefSeq lists it as uncharacterized. The record is from RefSeq and is a predicted model, not a curated record. Lineage: Eukaryota; Metazoa; Chordata; Mammalia; Carnivora; Canidae. The transcript has 5 exons.